AAGGUAUUGAAAUAAGAUUUUAAAUGAGUGCUAAGAGAAUGAUUAAACAAUUAAAAGCUUUCUUUAAUUAAAAAAUUAAAUUUAAUUUUUUCAGUGCAAAAGCAAAAAUAAAAUUUAGGGACAAGAAGACCCUAUGAAUUUUUAUUGUUAAUAAUUAAAAUUUWAGUUAUUAAUAAUUUAAUUGGGGCGAUAAAAAAAGAAUAAGUAUCUUUUUAGUUAUAAAAUAAGUUCCGUUUUUAGCGAUUAAAUGAAAUAAAUACUCUAGGGAWAMCAGCGUAAAAA
RNAcentral lists this ribosomal RNA (282 nucleotides) under Ixodes scapularis (black-legged tick). RNAcentral describes it as "partial 16S ribosomal RNA". The record is from RNAcentral. Lineage: Eukaryota; Metazoa; Arthropoda; Arachnida; Ixodida; Ixodidae.